CCUACGGUCGGCAGCAGUGAGGAAUAUUGGUCAAUGGGCGGGAGCCUGAACCAGCCAAGCCGCGUGAGGGAAGAAGGUACAGCGUAUCGUAAACCUCUUUUGUCAGGGAAUAAAGUCGGGGACUAGUCCCCGUAUGAGGGUACCUGAAGAAAAAGCAUCGGCUAACUCCGUGCCAGCAGCCGCGGUAAUACGGAGGAUGCGAGCGUUAUCCGGAUUUAUUGGGUUUAAGGGGUGCGCAGGCGGCCUGUAAAGUCAGCGGUAAAAGGCGGGGGCUCAACCCCGCCGAGCCGUUGAGACUGGGAGGCUGGAGUUGGAGAGAGGUACGCGGAAUGCGCGGUGUAGCGGUGAAAUGCGUAGAUAUCGCGCAGAACCCCGAUUGCGAAGGCAGCGUACCGGCUCCACACUGACGCUGAGGCACGAAAGCGUGGGUAUCGAACAGGAUUAGAUACCCGGGUAGUC
Molecule: ribosomal RNA, 459 nt
Filed under: uncultured bacterium
Lineage: Bacteria
Description: partial 16S ribosomal RNA
Rfam family: Bacterial small subunit ribosomal RNA
Source: RNAcentral